This 1206-nucleotide long non-coding RNA is filed under the name Vulpes vulpes (red fox). RNAcentral's name for it is "lncRNA (ENSVVUG00000019892.1)". The record is from RNAcentral. Lineage: Eukaryota; Metazoa; Chordata; Mammalia; Carnivora; Canidae.
AUGCAGACCCUGAGAGCUUUCAGACGGCCAAGCCAUCCACGUGCCUCGCGGGAUGAUUCCAGGCUAGUCCUCUUUCUGCCACCCCCUACGUGGAGCACGUCACAGGUCCUCCGUGUCUGUGAGUCAGCGGCUGGAGGACGGAGCCUCGGGAGGCCUGAGGGGCGGCGUGUGCCCUGUGGAGCCCGCACACGGGAAGGUGCCUCGCAGACCACGGACGUGCAGGGGGGCAUCCCCGGGAGGCUGCGGGGCGUCGGGGCAGAGCUGGGGUCCUCCGGGAGACCCGGAGACGUGCUGGGGAGCAGGGCUGGGGGGGCUGCUCCCCGGGAACCCCACUCCGGGCCGCCUCCCAGGCUUUCCCACUAGGGGGCAGGCAGAGGCAGGAGAAGAGUGAGGUGCUGGCCGGCGGCUCCCACCCAGCACCAAGCCGGCAAGACCAGGCCCCUCUUCCUGCCCUCUUCGGCCCGUGACAUCGCAGACCACGCGGCCACGGUAACCACAGUGGAUGAAUGAAAGAGAGCGAGCGAGAUCCCUGGUUUUCUUAUUUCACUCACCGUUUGUGGGUUUUCUAUCCGUGCCUCACGUGGCCGUUCAUUGUCGGGAACAGUCAAGAUGUACCUGAAAUCUGCCACUUUAUAAAAUGAGAAGGUCGACGGGGGAGGGGCGCCCUGGGGUCCCCGGGUCACCGAGGCUCAAGUCCUCAGGCCCAGUCACCGCUGCCCCCAUCUCCCGCCCAGCGCUCCUCUGUGUACCAACCCGGCAGUUGGAGGGAAACUCAUUUUCUGGAUGGUUCCCACGUGCCUUGAAAAGUCAUUUCCGCCUCCUCAGAAGCUCCAGGUGAGGGAUCCCUGGGUGGCGCAGCGGUUUGGCGCCUGCCUUUGGCCCAGGGCGCGAUCCUGGAGACCCGGGAUCGAAUCCCGCGUCGGGCUCUUGGUGCAUGGAGCCUGCUUCUCCCUAUGCCUGUGUCUCUGCCUCUCUCUUUCUGUGUGACUAUCAUAAAAAAAAAAAAAAAAGAAGCUCCAGGUGAUGGGGACCCUUGAUUGGUGUAAAUGUUUUCUAAUCCCCAAGGAUUAGAGAAAAGCAGCACAACGUUCCUUCUACGCCAGUCGUCCUCUCAUCAAAGUUACGGGGCCCAGACACCGGAGCCUAAAAUAACUAAAGUGAGUAUAAAGGAAUAAACGUCUUCCUAGGCCAGACUACGGAAAUGAA